ACAGAAACGACAAUCUUCUCGCUAUUCACUUCUGUGUAGAGCUCAAGUAUUUAUGUUGUGCUAGAGUAAACGGAGUCGUGACAUACGCGCGAACCGAGCGCCGACCAAUAGAAGCUCUAAGCGAGGUCAACAAAAUCUCCAUGACGUUAUACUGCGAUUGGCGGCAGGACAAGCGAAAUGGCGUGUUGCGAUAAGGUAAUCAUCAUCAUCGUAGAAAUCAUCACCAUCAUCUGUGCAAGUGAACUACCUUAUUUCUUAAUAUCAGCGAUAGCAUCAGUGUAGGGCCGUUUCCAUGUCAGUCAAAUCAGGGAAGAAGGCGAGAGAAGUUGAUACACAGGGUAGACUAACUUACCGAGGAAUGGAGUACUACAUAACUAUCGAUCGAUGUUCCAAAAUUUGAGACUGGAUGCGCAAGGCCGGUAGAAGUGCCCAGCGAUAAAUGGAGGGGUAUGGUGGUGGGGCGAUAAAGUAACACCGAUGUACACUAGUUUCGAAAUCAGUUUUUCAGUACACGUAUUUAAGCGCGGCCACCCCAAUCAGUCCGUUAGUCAUCAUAUAAAAGCCACACCCGUUUGCAUUAGGUGGACGGAGAGAAAUACAGUAGCUUGUUUAGACCUAAUUUUUUAUGAUAAAAAAAGUAGAAUAACUUCUUCUCGCUUUUACGCGAGACUAGGCUGACUAUUUAUACCUAUUACGGCCAAACGUCUGAACUUUUGAACGUCAGACCAGCUGUUUCGGAAGCACCCCGUCACGAUUUACAUAAUGGUGUAUGGGCUUCAUGUCACUACAUACCUUGUAAUUAUCAUUUUAAUUAUGCAUAAGCUCAUGAAACCAUGCAAUCAU
This is a long non-coding RNA of Nematostella vectensis (starlet sea anemone), 843 nucleotides long. RefSeq lists it as uncharacterized. The record is from RefSeq and is a predicted model, not a curated record. The transcript has 2 exons. NCBI's taxonomy places the organism in Eukaryota, Metazoa, Cnidaria, Anthozoa, Actiniaria, Edwardsiidae.